GAGACUCAGUAACAAAACAAAGGGUGAAAGGGAAAUGCAGAGGAAAAUUGUACAAUUAAUAUUUCGACAUUAUGUGAAAUAAAUUUUCCAUCCCACAUAAGAGCUAUAGAAAAUUGAGUACUUGGUUAGGCUCCCUUGCGUCCUUAAACAUGUUAUAUGGAUGCUAUGCAUUGGAUUGCAAAUAGGCGUAAACAUCUAAUGUUUCAUCCAAAGCUUCUGAUUUAAGAAGCAACCUAAAGGUUCAAAAGUGCCUUUUGUUUGAGAUGAUCUCAAUGCUCAAGGCUUAUGCAACAAAGCAGAAAGGUUGAUUUGGAUGUGCCAGAUUGGCGCUAUGCAGCAUGUUGGAAGAGAAAGUGCUUGUUCACUUGUUGCUUCUUUUCCCCCUUUUUUU
RNAcentral lists this unclassified non-coding RNA (391 nucleotides) under Hevea brasiliensis (rubber tree). The record is from RNAcentral. Lineage: Eukaryota; Viridiplantae; Streptophyta; Magnoliopsida; Malpighiales; Euphorbiaceae.